Long non-coding RNA from Pimephales promelas (fathead minnow), 1111 nucleotides. RefSeq lists it as uncharacterized. The record is from RefSeq and is a predicted model, not a curated record. Lineage: Eukaryota; Metazoa; Chordata; Actinopteri; Cypriniformes; Leuciscidae.
UGCAACCUUAAAGUCUAGGAUUCAACCAGCAUUGUCCUUGUUGGAGAUCCAGGGCCUGGCUGUCAGAGACUCACAAACAGAGCUAGCAGCUGCAUGCUCUCAAUCUGGCUGGAGGGCUCUUACCUUCCUGGCACGCUACAUAGGAGCAUCUAGCAGCUCCUAAAGUCUUUGAGGGAACGUGAACCUGGCAGAGGAGGCAGAAAGAGGGAGUUUCUGGCUUUGGCUCCACAGAAGGGCCAGAACAUGGGAUGUUCUGGGAUUGAAGGUGCAAAACACCAGUGAAGGGUGGCUCCCGGCUGACGAGGAGGUGCGUCAGGCAGCGAUGCCUAGCAGAUGGUGCUGAGCGUUUGGAGCCGUGCUGCUGGAGAUCACGAGGGCCCGUCUGUGAGUCACUGAGACAUCAGAGGUCAGAUGGUCUGUGAUUCUGUGCUGGCAUAGCCUAGGAUAUCCGCUUCACUCUUACUGCGUGUCUCUCCCCCUCUGUGAUCACACUUUUAUCGAUGCGUCUUGUCGGCCUCACAGAUGCACUUUAGUGCUUUUUUGACCUUUCACUUACUGAAGGAGAGGCAGGUGAUAAAUCUCUGAAAAGAGUGUGUGUCCUGUAUACUACCAAUAAGACUGGUACUGUGAGAUGGUGUUUUUUAUUAACAGGUGAGUAAGGUGUUUUAUUGAACAGAUAAAUUGCUUUAUGUAGCUCUCUAACAGAAUUCAUUGUAAAGCAUUAUCUAUUUUGAUGGUGGUUGUUGCGCUGCCUGGAAUUUAUUUUUGAAGGAAGUGCCAUGUGUGUUAAUGGGUAUAGCUACUGUAGUAACAUCUUCAGCUAGUCAGUUUGAGAUCAUUUCCAUCUAAACUUGUUAUAUCUCUUAAAAGAACACUCCAACUUUUUUGGACUUUAGCUUAUUCACUGUAUCCUCCAGAGUUCGAUAAAUCCAUACAAAUCUUUUUCAUCUCUGUGCGUGCUGUAACUCUAUCUGACGCACCCACCGCUAGCCUAGCUUAGCACAAAGACUGGAUGUAAACGGCUACAGCUAGCUUAAUCCCAAUAAGAGACAAAAUAACGCAAAACUGUUCCUAUUUACGUGUUGUGAUUUGUAUAGUCAUCAUAAAUAUA